RNAcentral lists this ribosomal RNA (254 nucleotides) under uncultured archaeon. RNAcentral describes it as "partial 16S ribosomal RNA". It matches the Rfam family "Archaeal small subunit ribosomal RNA", at positions 474 to 727 of the family's 1478-position model. The record is from RNAcentral.
UACCAGCAGCCCAAGUGGUGGUCACGAUUAUUGGGCCUAAAGCGCUCGUAGCCGGGUUGAUGUGUCCCUUGUGAAAUCGGGCGGCUCAACCGUUCGGCUUGCAAGGGAUACUAUCAGCCUUGGGGUCGGGAGAGGUCGAGGGUACUCCGGGGGUAGCGGUGAAAUGCUGUAAUCCUCGGGGGACCACCAGUGGCGAAGGCGCUCGACCAGAACGAGCUCGACGGUGAGGGGCGAAAGCUGGGGGAGCGAACGGG